This 374-nucleotide ribosomal RNA is filed under the name uncultured organism. Its description in RNAcentral is "bacterial SSU rRNA". It matches the Rfam family "Bacterial small subunit ribosomal RNA", at positions 526 to 896 of the family's 1533-position model. The record is from RNAcentral.
CGGGGGGAGCAAGCGUUGUUCGGAUUUACUGGGCGUAAAGGGCGCGUAGGCGGCCACCGCAAGUCAAUUGUGAAAUCUCCGGGCUUAACUCGGAAAGGUCAACUGAUACUGCGGGGCUAGAGUGCGGAAGGGGCAACUGGAAUUCUCGGUGUAGCGGUGAAAUGCGUAGAUAUCGAGAGGAACACCUGCGGCGAAGGCGGGUUGCUGGGCCGACACUGACGCUGAUGCGCGAAAGCUAGGGGAGCGAACGGGAUUAGAUACCCCGGUAGUCCUAGCCCUAAACGAUGAAUGCUUGGUGUCUGGGGUUACAAAGUCCUCGGGUGCCGUCGCUAACGCUUUAAGCAUUCCGCCUGGGGAGUACGGUCGCAAGACUG